CUCAAGACCGACCUUGAACCAAAUUUGUGUUUUAUAAAACGAUCUCGAGACACGACGCUGUCUUGGGAAGUGCAAAAUGACAGCCGAAUCUCAAGUCAUCGAUCGACCUUCCUCAAGACCGCGAUUCUAACCUAACUUUGUUUGUUAUUGUUUGAAUUUUGAAUAUUUUUAAUUCAGUUCCAACAUAUAUUUUUUGUUUUUCUAAUUACAAUAAAAAUGUAUGAAGAAGUAAAAGCAUUUUUAGAGUUUAUUGAUAAUAUUGGAGAAGAAAAUCGCCCGGGAAGUAUACAAAAGCGAUAUAUUCAAGAUAAAAAUAUAAUCUAAAAUACAAUGGAGUAUUACAAUAUUGAAGUUCAUCAGCGAAUCAGCGCAUUAACUUAAACAACAAAGGUUUUAUGCUACUUAUAGGAAUAUAACCAGUUUUUAUGAGGAAGCCCACUUUCCAAAAAUGUGCAGGUACUAGAAGAGAAAUUACUGUUCAACUGAGAAUUAUGUAUAUUACUGUUCAACAACAAGUUUAUCAAGUCAUUCAAUAUUUGAUCUAAGAGCAUUAAGAGUGAAAUUGUGAAAUGGAAAGAAGUGAAAUUCCAGGAUUAUUAAUAGGAAUAGAUGACAGUAGUGGGUAUGCAUGCAGACACUAUCUACUUACCCCAGUAUUACAGCCAGGUAAUGAUCAAGAAAAUAAGAUAUUUUUACCAUAGUACUCAUGUGAGAACAAGAAAUGUAGAAAAGCUAUUUGGAACCUGGAAAAGAGAGUUUCCUUUCUUCAACAAGGUCUACAAAUCAAAUUAUAUACAUGUCUUGCAAUAAUAUGUGCUACAGCAGUACCUUACAAUCUAGGUAAAUAAUGAUCUGGUGGUAAAUAGACAUGUUAAUGAUGUGGAACAAUCUCUAAAUUUUUGGUGACAUUUUUUUCAACAAUAUUUUGCAUGAGAAUACAUUAUUGAAUACCUA
Molecule: long non-coding RNA, 954 nt
Organism: Diabrotica virgifera virgifera (western corn rootworm)
Lineage: Eukaryota; Metazoa; Arthropoda; Insecta; Coleoptera; Chrysomelidae
Exons: 3
Source: RefSeq, a predicted model, not a curated record